Molecule: long non-coding RNA, 2906 nt
Organism: Apis cerana (Asiatic honeybee)
Lineage: Eukaryota; Metazoa; Arthropoda; Insecta; Hymenoptera; Apidae
Source: RefSeq, a predicted model, not a curated record
AUCAGAGGAUUAAGGGAUUAAAUUAAGUUCUCCCCGGUGGAAAACUUGGAGGGAUAAAAGAAGGAAGAGAAUGCGAAGCAUCUCCUCCUUUCGAAUCUCCCGCUCCGAGUCCACGCCGGAAGCAUGUAUCGGGAAGAUUAUUAGGAACCAAUUAGAAAUAAUUUUCCCUCGUGUCACCACGCGUACGUGUAUGUGUAUAUAUGUGGGGAAAUGGAGCAAAGUAGUUGGCGGAGGAAGUUUCGAAACUAUCGAUAAUGGUUGUUCGACGAAUGGAAGAUCCGUGUCGUGUCGAGGCGCCUACUUCCGGAACACUUCUUCGCUAGUUCGUUCGUUCGUUCGUUCGUCUGCUUGUGUAAACGCCGCGAGAGGCGCUGUAUCGCAUUUUUCAAACGAUACACGAGAUUUCGCUGUUUGGCAAGAAAAUGAAAUAAGUGAAUUUGUUGUGUAAAUUAGUGAUUCUUUUGUUGAACAUAUCGAGAAUGGAUUAUUAAGUUUUAUAAUAAUUUGGUGCAGUUUCUUUUUUGGAUUAAAACAUCUUAAAAGAGAAUUGCACGCCCACGCCAUCGCGCUCGAUAAACCAUGGCGUGAUUCUCGUCGAUCGUGCCUCGAAGUCUGAUGAUAGCUGGAUUGCGGAUUUUUAUGCAGAAGUAUUUCAAAGAAGAUUGAAAUGCGUCAAUACACGUCACACUGGGUAGCAGAAAGCAACUAGUACAUCACGUAUAUAUGUGGCAUGACGAAAGGAUUGAAGAAACGAUAUAAAUGAUUACCAUGAUAAAAGAGACACUGCUUUUGAAUUAAACAAGAUGUGGCAGUGUAAUUACGUUAAGAUAAAUAAAGGAUUCAUCUUCAAUUGAAAAUAAUAGCAACAACCUUCAAGAAGCUUGGAUUUUUCUGCAAAAUUUUUAUGAUUAAAGAAAUGAAGUUUCUCCAAUUUUAUUUUAUUCCAUAAAUACAAUUCCAUAAAUAAAUACAAUAAUAUAUUCCUGAGAUAUCUUUGGAGAGUCGAUUCUCAGAACAAAAGUUGGUGUACAAAAAAAUGUCGAUUGAGGAUUAUUUAUCAAGUAGUUUAAGUUUGUAAAUAUUCAUACCAACUUUCCUUUUUAUUUUAUUAUCCUUUUCAAAGAUGUUUCAUAAAUAUAUUAAUAUUAUACUAUACUUCAGACAUUUCGUAUCUUUCUGCAUUUAAUAGACAGAGUUGAAAAAGUAACUAGUUAAAAAUUUCGAAUAAAGUUGCCUUAAGUAAUUACCCAACUUGACUGUUUGGCACUACGAUUAUUCCUGAUUAUUAUUAUAUUUUGAACAAUAAAUUAUCAAAGUAACUUUAUUCGUAACUUCAACUAUUAAAUUUUUCCCAUCACUUUUAUACGAGGUGUCCCAAAAAUAUUGCAAAUCAUCCGUAAACAGGAGAUUCCUUCAGUACUUUCAAACAACAUACUGACUACUAAAAAACACUAGUCAAUCACGCGGAGCCCAGUAAUGAAUAAAGUUGAAUAAAGUUACUUCCAUAAUUUUUAUUGUUGUAAAACAUGUAAUAAUAAUUGCAAAUAAUUGUAAUGUCGAAUAAUCAAGAUUAUAUGAAAAGCGGAUCAACUAUAACAGUUACUUGAAUAAAUUAUCAUUUUUCAGUAAUUAAUCACUCAAAGUAACUUUAUUUUUAAUCAGUUACUUUUUCAACGAGUUAAAAAACAACUUUGCUGUAGAUAUUAAUCGAGUCGAGUAGCAUAGUAGUUAAUAGUAGCGUGGAAUAAUAAACAAUUAAUUAUCACAUUGAUUAUCAAACAGAUAAUUACCAAUAAACAACAAGUGAACACAACAUAACAACGAGCUUUAACGUAAAAUUCGUCUCUCUCUGUUUUCGUACAGUGGACAAUCUAAUGAACUCUACGAGUUUAACAGUGCUCGUUCGUCACGACCGGUUAUCUCGAUUCAACGUUCAACUACUCAAUUUGCGCCAAAAAACAGAAAUGCGUUUCGAGGCCCACGACGAAACCAGCAAAAUUCGGUGAAUGCAUUUAUCCAAUCAAACGUGACGAUUUGUGAUACAUCAAUAAAUCAUGUAUACGCCUAUCGUGUCAAUAAUAGAGACAAAACUCAUCUUGAGAAAUAUGAUUUCAAUCGGAUGAAAAAAAAAUGGAAAUAUUCCAAGCAUUACAGAAGAUACAUUUUAGGAGAAAAAGAAAAAUAACACGGUUCGAGGAUUGAUUUCGUUCCAUCUUGUGUGAAUUUCCAUAUAAUCAAUUUGCGUAAACGAGGACUGGUGCGAUUGGCUGUGGGAUAUGCAAGGGGUGGAAAUUGGUGAAAGGUGGAAACGGCUUUGGGAGGAGGGGGAAGCAUCCGGUGUGUGUUCUCGACAGAAGAGAAGACACCCUUCGUCCCCUUUUUCCGGGCCAAAAAUCGGCCAAAAGUUCAUGUAUUAAAAGUACCUACAAGGCCAAUAAAUUAGAACUGGCGCUCUGCCAUUUCAAUCUCGCGGAUCUUGCUCGAGACAAGAACGCUGAAAACCCUUCUAUGAACCAUCAUUUUAUUCGAUGGAACGACACGCCUCACGACGACAUUUAUCCGCUGGAUGAAAUAGAAUGGAAAAUGAUCCAUUGGCCAAUUUUCAAUCAUCGAGCUAUGUGUAAUGUAAUCUGAUUAGAACGUGUAAUUCUUCUGCACGAAGAUCGUAUGAUAGAACGUAAUGAAUAGAUUUUGUUAAUUCUGUUUGAAGAACAGAAAUUAAAGAUACUGGAGUAUAUUUCAAUACUCUUCCACAGGAGGAAGAGUUUUUUUAUUUAUAUCAUUUUUGAUUUAUGUAUUAUUAAUUAUAUUUAGUUAUCGAAAAGCAUACGUUGCUUAGAAACUGUUAAUUUAUAUUCUAAAAAAAAAAAAAAGAAAAAAGAAAAAGAAGAAAAGAAAAUCAUAAA